This 328-nucleotide ribosomal RNA is filed under the name uncultured eukaryote. RNAcentral's name for it is "partial 18S ribosomal RNA". It matches the Rfam family "Eukaryotic small subunit ribosomal RNA", at positions 1470 to 1796 of the family's 1831-position model. The record is from RNAcentral.
CCCUUAGAUGUCCUGGGCCGCACGCGCGUUACACUGAUGCAUUCAACGAGCUUAUAACCUUGGCCGAGAGGCCUGGGCAAUCUUGUUAACGUGCAUCGUGAUAGGGAUGGAUUAUUGAAAUUAUUAAUCUUGAACGAGGAAUUCCUAGUAAACGCAGAUCAUCAAUCUGCAUUGAUUACGUCCCUGCCCUUUGUACACACCGCCCGUCGCACCUACCGAUUGGAUGGUCCGGUGAAGCCUCGGGAUUGUGGUUCUUGCCGCUUUAUUGUGGCGUGGCCGCGAGAACUUGUCUAAACCUUAUCAUCUAGAGGAAGGUGAAGUCGUAACA